GUGGGGAAUUUUCCGCAAUGGGCGAAAGCCUGACGGAGCAAGACCGCGUGGGGGAAGAAGGCUCUUGGGUUGUAAACCCCUUUUCUCUGGGAAGAAAGUUGUGAAAGCAACCUGACGGUACCAGAGGAAUCAGCAUCGGCUAACUCCGUGCCAGCAGCCGCGGUAAGACGGAGGAUGCAAGCGUUAUCCGGAAUGAUUGGGCGUAAAGCGUCUGCAGGUGGCAGUUCAAGUCUGCUGUCAAAGACCGGGGCUUAACUUCGGAAAGGCAGUGGAAACUGAACAGCUAGAGUAUGGUAGGGGCAGAGGGAAUUCCUGGUGUAGCGGUGAAAUGCGUAGAGAUCAGGAAGAACAUCGGUGGCGAAGGCGCUCUGCUGGACCAUAACUGACACUCAGGGACGAAAGCUAGGGGAGCGAAUGGG
This 419-nucleotide ribosomal RNA is filed under the name uncultured bacterium. RNAcentral describes it as "bacterial SSU rRNA". It matches the Rfam family "Bacterial small subunit ribosomal RNA", at positions 354 to 776 of the family's 1533-position model. The record is from RNAcentral.